Molecule: transfer RNA, 66 nt
Filed under: Metidiocerus sp. ZB-2019
Lineage: Eukaryota; Metazoa; Arthropoda; Insecta; Hemiptera; Cicadellidae
Also listed under: 2 other names
Description: tRNA-Ser
Source: RNAcentral
AAGAGAUUAAGUAAGAAAGUAGCUGCUAACUAACUUUCUAAGCGGUUAAAUUCCGUUUAUCUCUUA